Non-coding RNA from Triticum urartu, 1098 nucleotides. Lineage: Eukaryota; Viridiplantae; Streptophyta; Magnoliopsida; Poales; Poaceae. The record is from RefSeq and is a predicted model, not a curated record.
UAAGUCUCUGAUCCCGUCACUUCCUGCUCGAUUCGCUUGGCUCCUGUGCUGAUUUCUCUUUGGUUUCCCAGGUUUGUUGUGGUUGCAGAAUGGCGCAGAGGAAUUGGGAAGCGGACUAUGGACAUGAUGCGUGACGUGCACAUCCAUGACUAUUUGCUCAAGUGAAACAUCCAAACGGCCAACCUGUUCAUGGUGGAGGGGGCCAUGCCUGCUAAGUCCUCCAAUUCAUACUCAGGCUGGCUGCUGGGGCGAGCUGACCAUGAUGCUCUGCGAAGGCGAGUUAUCCAUGGAAUUCACACAACAUUCCAGCGUUCUCGUUGGCAGGUCUCUGCUCUUCUCCAUGUCCACGGGGACAGUGCGUCCAUCGUGGAGCAUGACCUGGCAAGUCGCGACCUGACUCUGCUCGGCCAACUAGACAAGCACUAUAAGCACAGAUGCUGUCAAGGAUGGGGAUUUUUGUCAACGCCUUUGAAUGCGUUAGCCACAACCUCAAGAUCAGGGCUCCUUGUUAUGGAGAAGGUGCUCUCGAGGGUGUAGCACACUCAACAAACAUGAAUGUGCCUUGCUAUCCAAAGAUUCUCCUGAUGAUGUUCCUAAGAGGGCACCAAAUGAAGAAUCGGCGAAGGGUACAACCCGCAAAGAUGAUGCUGGGAACCUUUGACCUCUGGUAGCAAUGUUGAUGGUGCUUCACCUUCAGAGAAGAAAGUAGAAACCACGAAGUUGGUAACCAAUGCUAUCAAGGAAGGGGACUUCGUCAACACCUUUCGGACCAGUAAAUCAGGCACAUAAGCAGCUGUCCGACGAGGGAACCGAUCCUAUCAAGGAAGGGGAUUUUGUCAACACCUUUGAAUGCGUCAGCCAUGACCUCAAGAUCAGGCUGGUGAGUUUUUCUAUUCAGCUCAAAGAAGCGCUGUAGCACAAGAGAGGCAAUUAGUAGCAAAUCAGUCUGGUCAGAAUUCACCGGAGAGUCCUUCCUUAGAGCAGGAUUCUCAAUCGGCAGCUGAAAGAUUAGUGAGACUGACUGAUGCUGAACAUGUACCAUCUGUUCCAUGUGAGAGAAAUAGCAUGUCGAUAUCAUCUUGAAAUAAUCACAGCUGG